Gorilla gorilla gorilla (western lowland gorilla) is the source of this 163-nucleotide long non-coding RNA. RefSeq lists it as uncharacterized. NCBI's taxonomy places the organism in Eukaryota, Metazoa, Chordata, Mammalia, Primates, Hominidae. The record is from RefSeq and is a predicted model, not a curated record. The transcript has 4 exons.
UCUACAUCCAUACCACCCAACACAGCAGCUAUGAGCUAAAAAACAGCACUAAAAGCUGAAUAAUCAAGACUGGUGAAAUGAGAUCAUACUACCCUGCAACUUUGUUUUUCCAUUUAAUACUACAUUGCAGUGAAAUACCAUCUUUUUAAAAAUUCAUUAAGUA